Molecule: non-coding RNA, 723 nt
Organism: Hydra vulgaris (swiftwater hydra)
Lineage: Eukaryota; Metazoa; Cnidaria; Hydrozoa; Anthoathecata; Hydridae
Source: RefSeq, a predicted model, not a curated record
UUUAGAUUAUAUAGCUAUUAUAAGAUAUAUUAUUAAAGGUAUCAAUAAUAUACAUGUGGCAUCGAAGUUGUUAGAAGCUGAUAUUUUACAUUUUAAAUAAAGUUGUAUCCUUGAAAGAUAUGCUGGUAUUAUUGACACAAUGGGCAAGCAUUGAAGGGCAACUUGGGGAACUGCAAAGCGCAUCAAAAGUAGUUAUAAAAAUUUGAGUAACAAAAGUAUGAUAAUUAUUGUAUUGCCUGAAAGUCAUUGUCAUUAAAAGCAGUGAAGAAAUCAAUAAAAGCUAAAUUGAUACAUUUGCCGAAGAUCAGAGAAAAGUUGUCAAUUAAAGUUAGACUAGGCUAACAAUAAUAAAAUUUACAUUAAGUAAAUUGCCAUUAAAAGCAGUGAAGAAAUCAAGUACUCUGGAAGAAAAAAGACAAGAAAACACUUAAGUUAAAGACGAAGGAGAUUGUAUAUGUUAUUUACUAAGAAUAGUUUUUUAAAAUGGCCUAGCUGUAAAAUUAAAUUAUGCAGGGAGAGGACAAAAAAUUGAAAAAUGUUGAUUGCAUAUGCUGCUAUUGAAACUGUGAAGUCAAAUAAGCAUGGCUUAUGCAGACAAGUGAUAGAGAUAGCGAAAGAAAAAAUAAUAAUCGUGGGCACCAAAUAUCAUAAGCUAAACACGAUUCAAUAACAAGUAGCUCAGCCAAUAUCGAAACUACUCUAUAAAUUUUAUAGUGAAUUUUC